GCCGAGAUAGCUCAGUCGGUAGAGCAAUGGACUGAAAAUCCAUGUGUCGGCAGUUCGAUUCUGCCUCUCGGCACCA
RNAcentral lists this transfer RNA (76 nucleotides) under Chloroflexota bacterium. RNAcentral's name for it is "tRNA-Phe". It matches the Rfam family "tRNA". Rfam says of the family: Transfer RNA (tRNA) molecules are approximately 80 nucleotides in length. Their secondary structure includes four short double-helical elements and three loops (D, anti-codon, and T loops). RNAcentral also lists the same sequence under 2 other names. The record is from RNAcentral. Lineage: Bacteria; Bacillati; Chloroflexota.